UUUGUUUGCAUAAAAAAGGCAUGGUCUCGGGCAUGACAGAGGAGGGUUUUUUUUGGACAUUUAAAAAAAGGGUUAUCAGAUCUUAGAGAGAGGAAUUCCAAAUAGAGAGUUUGAUCCGGCCAAGCUCUGUAAUAAUUCUAUAGAUCUAAGGGUUAAAAAAAUGAGUUUAACUUAAGGUUGAAGCCACAUUAGAGGUCAAUUCCAUUGUUGAUCUUCAGUUUGUUUCAUAUUGAUAUUUGAAUAUCCUGUUACUGGUUUUCAGAAAAAUUCCUGCUUCAUUUCCUUACUGAUGGUUCAAAGUUUGGCUGCUGCUAUUUUGCUUUUUGUUUCAACUCAUUUUCAUUGUGAAUUUGCUGUAAUCAAGUAUCUGCUCCUAAACUUUUGUGAUGAUUUUGGCUUGAAGUAGAAAUGAAAUAUGGAAUUUGAUAACUUCAACCUCCUUGGGUUGAAUUAGAUGAAUUCGUUCUGUGUUAAUUGUUUUAGUAUUGGCGUAAGUGGAACACUGUAGACUCAUUAUUAGUUUGUAUUCGAUAUUAGCUUUACAUUCUACUGUCAUAACUAUUUUGAACUGUUAAAGGCAUGAAUUGCCUGGAUUCUGUUCUAUUAUUCUAGAUUCAGUAUAUUUUAAAGUCCUUGAAAUUAAUAGGUAGUUAUUGAAUUCAUGUGAACUUGAUUUACUCGUCUCUAUACACUAACCAAGAGUAUCUGUGAGAUUUGAGUACAUUUGAAGAGUUGUGAUUCAAUUUAUGAAUUCACGCUUCAAUAAAGUCCCAAAUUGCAUGUUCUGUGGUUUUAUUAUCAUUAAUAAAGUCCAUAUUGUGAUUCAAGUGUUGUAAAAUAAGUUAGGUCAUUCUAAGGUGAUGAGAAAUUUGUUAAUAUGUUGCAGAUUCAAGUGUUCUUUCAUUAGUCAUACUUAACAGUUGUUUAUCAGCUAACUAGUACAUUGU
Molecule: long non-coding RNA, 947 nt
Filed under: Nicotiana benthamiana
Lineage: Eukaryota; Viridiplantae; Streptophyta; Magnoliopsida; Solanales; Solanaceae
Description: long non-coding RNA (NBEN_LNC040420)
Source: RNAcentral